Molecule: long non-coding RNA, 213 nt
Organism: Rhagoletis zephyria (snowberry fruit fly)
Lineage: Eukaryota; Metazoa; Arthropoda; Insecta; Diptera; Tephritidae
Source: RefSeq, a predicted model, not a curated record
CAUACAUUCAUAUACACAUGUACAGUGGAGUAGCACUAGGUUGAACAAUGCAUUGCUUGUACUUUGAUGUGUUUGAAUCUUUUAUGGUACUGAAGAUUUGCUUAGGGAUGAAAAAUAUUAAAAAUCGUUCGUGCAUAUAUGCACAUUGACCCACCUGUACAAAAAUUGUGGCGCGGCAUGGACAAAAAUUCUACAAUUUCGGACCGAAAAAUA